GUCAGUUCAAGGUAAACUGGAGGUUCAAUUGGGAUGCAAUGAAGAGCCCCUGACAAGCAUAUUCUUCAAAGCCUCCCAUGGUGUAACUGAAGAUACGAUAUGUGAAGUAGCCCUAGCUUGCCUGCUCAAGUCUUCAAAGCCCAAAGACAACUGCUGGAAUGAAAUGCAACCUAUAGGACUGAUGGAAGAAUUGCUACCUGGACUUUCAAAUGGCAUGAAAAUAUAUGGAC
This is a non-coding RNA of Rattus norvegicus (Norway rat), 230 nucleotides long. Lineage: Eukaryota; Metazoa; Chordata; Mammalia; Rodentia; Muridae. The record is from RefSeq and is a predicted model, not a curated record.